AGUCGCAAGACCGCGAGGUUUAGCAAAUCUCUUAAAGCCGUUCUCAGUUCGGAUUGUAGGCUGCAACUCGCCUACAUGAAGUCGGAAUCGCUAGUAAUCGCGGAUCAGCAUGCCGCGGUGAAUACGUUCCCGGGCCUUGUACACACCGCCCGUCACACCAUGAGAGUUUGUAACACCCAAAGCCGGUGGGGUAACCUUUUGGAGCCAGCCGUCUAAGGUGGGACAGAUGAUUGGGGUGAAGUCGUAACAAGGUAAC
This 256-nucleotide ribosomal RNA is filed under the name uncultured bacterium. Its description in RNAcentral is "partial 16S ribosomal RNA". It matches the Rfam family "Bacterial small subunit ribosomal RNA", at positions 1245 to 1500 of the family's 1533-position model. The record is from RNAcentral.